Molecule: ribosomal RNA, 578 nt
Filed under: uncultured bacterium
Lineage: Bacteria
Description: bacterial SSU rRNA
Rfam family: Bacterial small subunit ribosomal RNA
Source: RNAcentral
CCUACGGGAGGCAGCAGUAAGGAAUAUUGGUCAAUGGAGGCAACUCUGAACCAGCCGUGCCGCGUGCAGGAAGACAGCCCUCUGGGUCGUAAACUGCUUUUAUUCGGGAAUAAACCUUAUUACGUGUAAUAAGCUGAAUGUACCGAAGGAAUAAGGAUCGGCUAACUCCGUGCCAGCAGCCGCGGUAAUACGGAGGAUCCAAGCGUUAUCCGGAUUUAUUGGGUUUAAAGGGUGCGUAGGCGGCUUAUUAAGUCAGGGGUGAAAGACGGUGGCUCAACCAUCGCAGUGCCUUUGAUACUGAUGAGCUUGAAUGAACUAGAGGUAGGCGGAAUGUGACAAGUAGCGGUGAAAUGCAUAGAUAUGUCACAGAACACCGAUUGCGAAGGCAGCUUACUAUGGUUUUAUUGACGCUGAGGCACGAAGGCGUGGGGAUCAAACAGGAUUAGAUACCCUGGUAGUCCACGCCCUAAACGAUGAAUACUCGCUGUUAGCGAUAUACAGUUAGCGGCUAAGCGAAAGCGUUAAGUAUUCCACCUGGGGAGUACGCCCGCAAGGGUGAAACUCAAAGGAAUUGACGG